AGUGAACGCUGGCGGUAGGCCUAACACAUGCAAGUCGAACGGCAGCACAGUAAGAGCUUGCUCUUACGGGUGGCGAGUGGCGGACGGGUGAGGAAUACAUCGGAAUCUACUUUUUCGUGGGGGAUAACGUAGGGAAACUUACGCUAAUACCGCAUACGACCUACGGGUGAAAGCAGGGGAUCUUCGGACCUUGCGCGAUUGAAUGAGCCGAUGUCGGAUUAGCUAGUUGGCGGGGUAAAGGCCCACCAAGGCGACGAUCCGUAGCUGGUCUGAGAGGAUGAUCAGCCACACUGGAACUGAGACACGGUCCAGACUCCUACGGGAGGCAGCAGUGGGGAAUAUUAGACAAUGGGCGCAAGCCUGAUCCAGCCAUACCGCGUGGGUGAAGAAGGCCUUCGGGUUGUAGAGCCCUUUUGUUGGGAAAGAAAAGCAGCAGGUUAAUACCCCGCUGUUCUGACGGUACCCAAAGAAUAAGCACCGGCUAACUUCGUG
This 492-nucleotide ribosomal RNA is filed under the name uncultured bacterium. RNAcentral's name for it is "partial 16S ribosomal RNA". It matches the Rfam family "Bacterial small subunit ribosomal RNA", at positions 29 to 507 of the family's 1533-position model. The record is from RNAcentral.